This 89-nucleotide non-coding RNA is filed under the name Faecalibacterium prausnitzii. Its description in RNAcentral is "TPP riboswitch (THI element)". It matches the Rfam family "TPP riboswitch aptamer (THI element)", at positions 9 to 90 of the family's 105-position model. Rfam says of the family: Vitamin B(1) in its active form thiamin pyrophosphate (TPP) is an essential coenzyme that is synthesised by coupling of pyrimidine and thiazole moieties in bacteria. The previously detected thiamin-regulatory element, thi box was extended, resulting in a new, highly conserved RNA secondary structure, the THI element, which is widely distributed in eubacteria and also occurs in some archaea. Analysis of operon structures identified a large number of new candidate thiamin-regulated genes, mostly transporters, in various prokaryotic organisms. Lineage: Bacteria; Bacillati; Bacillota; Clostridia; Eubacteriales; Oscillospiraceae. The record is from RNAcentral.
UACAGGGGAGCUUGUGAAGCAGGCUGAGAGGAAGUAUCCAAACUUCGACCCUUUUACCUGAUGCGGAUAAUGCCGCCGUAGGAAGUCAG